RNAcentral lists this ribosomal RNA (468 nucleotides) under uncultured bacterium. Its description in RNAcentral is "partial 16S ribosomal RNA". It matches the Rfam family "Bacterial small subunit ribosomal RNA", at positions 28 to 507 of the family's 1533-position model. The record is from RNAcentral.
GACGAACGCUGGCGGCGCGCCUAACACAUGCAAGUCGAACGGAGCUGAGAGAAGCUUGCUUUUCUUAGCUUAGUGGCGAACGGGUGAGUAACGCGUGAGUAACCUGCCCUGGAGUGGGGGACAACAGUUGGAAACGACUGCUAAUACCGCAUAAGCCCACGAUCCGGCAUCGGAUUGAGGGAAAAGGAUUUAUUCGCUUCAGGAUGGACUCGCGUCCAAUUAGCUAGUUGGUGAGGUAACGGCCCACCAAGGCGACGAUUGGUAGCCGGACUGAGAGGUUGAACGGCCACAUUGGGACUGAGACACGGCCCAGACUCCUACGGGAAGCAGCAGUGGGGGAUAUUGCACAAUGGGGGAAACCCUGAUGCAGCGACGCCGCGUGGAGGAAGAAGGUUUUCGGAUUGUAAACUCCUGUCGUGAGGGACGAUAAUGACGGUACCUAACAAGAAAGCACCGGCUAACUACGUG